GACGAACGCUGGCGGCGUGCUUAACACAUGCAAGUCGAACGGAAAGGCCCUGCUUUUGUGGGGUGCUCGAGUGGCGAACGGGUGAGUAACACGUGAGUAACCUGCCCUUGACUUUGGGAUAACUUCAGGAAACUGGGGCUAAUACCGGAUAGGAGCUCCUGCUGCAUGGUUGGGGUUGGAAAGUUUCGGCGGUUGGGGAUGGACUCGCGGCUUAUCAGCUUGUUGGUGGGGUAGUGGCUUACCAAGGCUUUGACGGGUAGCCGGCCUGAGAGGGUGACCGGCCAAAUUGGGACUGAGAGACGGCCCAGACUCCUACGGGAGGCAGCAGGGGGGAAUAUUGCACAAUGGGCGGAAGCCUGAUGCAGCAACGCCGCGUGCGGGAUGACGGCCUUCGGGUUGUAAACCGCUUUCGCCUGUGACGAAGCGUGAGUGACGGUAAUGGGUAAAGAAGCACCGGCUAACUACGUG
This 468-nucleotide ribosomal RNA is filed under the name uncultured bacterium. RNAcentral describes it as "partial 16S ribosomal RNA". It matches the Rfam family "Bacterial small subunit ribosomal RNA", at positions 28 to 507 of the family's 1533-position model. The record is from RNAcentral.